Molecule: ribosomal RNA, 1485 nt
Filed under: Balduza una
Lineage: Eukaryota; Metazoa; Arthropoda; Insecta; Hemiptera; Issidae
Description: SSU rRNA
Source: RNAcentral
CAGCAGGCGCGCAAAUUACCCACUCCCGGCACGGGGAGGUAGUGACGAAAAAUAACGAUACGGGACUCAUCCGAGGCCCCGUAAUCGGAAUGAGUAUACUCUAAAUCCUUAUACGAGUAUCAAUUGGAGGGCAAGUCUGGUGCCAGCAGCCGCGGUAAUUCCAGCUCCAAUAGCGUAUAUUAAAGUUGUUGCGGUUAAAAAGCUCGUAGUUGGAUCUGUGUCCCGCACCGUUGGUUCACCGCCUGUCGGUGUUCAACUGGCGUGUAUGCGGGACGUCCUGCCGGUGGCGGUCCGGUUCCCCGCGGGUUCGUAGGGGUCGUCCUGGCUUUGCUUGCGUCGUCCCCGAAGGCCCGUGCGGUGUUUCCGGCCGCCUUUUCGAUCCCGUCGCGGUGCUCUUCACCGAGUGUCGAGGCGGGCCGGCACGUUUACUUUGAACAAAUUAGAGUGCUUUAAGCAGGCCCUGUCCCGCCUGUAUGUUGUGUGCAUGGAAUAAUGGAAUAGGACCUCGGUUCUAUUUUGUUGGUUUUCGGAAUCUGAGGUAAUGAUCAAUGGGGACAGGCGGGGGCAUUCGUAUUGCGACGUUAGAGGUGAAAUUCUUGGAUCGUCGCAAGACGGACCGAAGCGAAAGCAUUUGCCAAGUAUGUUCUCGUCGAUCAAGAACGAAAGUUAGAGGUUCGAAGGCGAUCAGAUACCGCCCUAGUUCUAACCAUAAACUAUGCCUGCCAGCGAUCCGCCGAAGUUCCUCCGAUGACUCGGCGGGCAGCUUCCGGGAAACCAGAGCUUUUGGGUUCCGGGGGAAGUAUGGUUGCMAAGCUGAAACUUAAAGGAAUUGACGGAAGGGCACCACCAGGAGUGGAGCCUGCGGCUUAAUUUGACUCAACACGGGAAAACUCACCAGGCCCGGACACCGGAAGGAUUGACAGAUUGAGAGCUCUUUCUUGAUUCGGUGGGUGGUGGUGCAUGGCCGUUCUUAGUUGGUGGAGCGAUUUGUCUGGUUAAUUCCGAUAACGAACGAGACUCUAGCCUACUAACUAGGCGUACCCGGUAUCCACAAUCGUGCUACCGGCGAUCAAAUUUCUUCUUAGAGGGACAGGCGGCUUCUAGCCGCACGAGACUGAGCAAUAACAGGUCUGUGAUGCCCUUAGAUGUCCUGGGCCGCACGCGCGCUACACUGAAGGAAUCAGCGUGUCUUCCCUGUCCGAAAGGACCGGGUAACCCGCUGAACCUCCUUUGUGCUAGGGAUUGGGGCUUGCAAUUGUUCCCCAUGAACGAGGAAUUCCCAGUAAGCGCGAGUCAUAAGCUCGCGUUGAUUACGUCCCUGCCCUUUGUACACACCGCCCGUCGCUACUACCGAUUGAAUGAUUUAGUGAGGUCUUCGGACUGGUGCGCGGAGGCCGCAUCCGCGGUCUCCGAUGUUGCUGGAAAGAUGACCAAACUUGAUCAUUUAGAGGAAGUAAAAGUCGUAACAAGGUUUCCGUAGGUGAA